UUUAUAAUUUACAUGACAUUUGGUAAAAAGAUUUUGUAUUAUUAUAAAUAUUAAUUAUCUUGGCCUUACAAUUUUACCUCGAUAAGAAACAUAAUAAAAUUAUACAGUGCAUUGCAUUUAUAUUCUGAAUUAUAAAGUACAAUAAAAGAAACUGUUAUAUUCCCAAUAACACAAUGUCAAUUUUCCAUCUCGUACGAGGUGGAUGGAGAAGUCUAGGAAAUUCUUCGAUUACUUUUCACAAAAAUGUAAGAAAUCUAACAUCAAAAAACCUAUUUUACGCCGAAUUUGGCGAUCCGCUUCAUGUUGUCAGAAUGAAAGAAGUUGAGGUGCCUCCACUUAAAAAUCAAGAAGUUCUUGUAAGGAUGUUAGCAGCACCGGUCAACCCGGCGGAUAUAAAUACUAUUCAAGGCAAAUAUCCAGUCAAAAUUACACUGCCAUCUAUCCCAGGUAAUGAAGGAGUUGGUGUUGUUGAAAGUGUGAGUGAUGGAGUGAAGAACAUUUGUCCUGGAGACAGAGUCAUUAUAGUUAAACCAUUAAAUGGUACUUGGAGGGAUGUGGCCAUUCUGAAUCAGCAAGUAUUGAGAGUUGUUCCUAAAGAACUUGGUCUAGUCGAAGCAGCUACGCUUACUGUUAAUCCUUGUACUGCAUACAGAAUGCUAUCAGACUUUAAAAAUGUUAAAGAUGGUCUUGUGGUUAUACAAAAUGGAGCAAAUAGCGCUUGUGGUCAAAUGGUAAUACAAAUCUGCAAGGCAUGGGGAGUAAAAAAUAUAAAUAUAGUCAGAAACCGUCCUGAAAUCAAUGAAUUGAAGGAGUAUUUAAAAUGUUUAGGUGCAACAUAUGUUCUCACUGAGGAGGAGUUGCGGACAACAACUAUAUUUAAAGAAAAUAAAAUUGAUAGACCAUCAUUGGCAUUGAAUUGUGUUGGUGGGAAAAAUGCUUUAGAAAUGGUAAGACAUUUGCAGAAAUCUGCUGCGGUUGUAACUUAUGGGGCAAUGUCGAGAGAACCUGUGACUAUUCCAAAUGCCUCACUUAUCUUCAAAAACAUAUCCUUCCACGGAUUCUGGAUGACAGCUUGGAAUGAGAAAGCUCCUCAGGAUAAGAAAGAGGAUAUGAUCUGUGAUAUUAUUAGCCUAAUGCUCGAAAAGAAACUUAAUUGCCCUGUUCACAAGAUGGUAAAAUUUGAUGAUUAUAAAACAGCUAUAGGACAAACACUAUCUACAAAAGGUUUUACUGGAUGUAAAUACCUAUUAGAUUUCUCUGCUUAAUAAAAAUUCUGGCAAUUAUUAUUUUAGCAGAGGCUAUUUAUUCAUCGGCUUAACAAAGCUCAACAGUGUAUAUUUUCAUUCGUUAAGUUUCAUAUUGCUACAAAACCGGAAUCUUCAAUAACUUGGCUAUAGUUGGAUUUAUAUAAAUAUGAGGGUACUUGACAAAAUAAUUUGAAAUAAAGUAGUUUAUUAGUAAUUCUUAAUAUGUAAUAUGAUGUAUAAUAAUAUAUUAUGUAUAUUAUGGUAAAGAUAUGCAUGUGAAAACACAACAGGUUGUUAAUGUAGGAACCCAAUUCUUCCCCGUUUGCCAAGUAUCCCUGGAGAUGAAGGUGUUGGUGAUGUCGUAGAAAUUGGUGAACUAGUGUGUGCUGUAGAACCUGGUGAAAGAGUAGUGUUA
Danaus plexippus (monarch butterfly) is the source of this 1662-nucleotide RNA transcript. It is a transcript of the gene named enoyl-[acyl-carrier-protein] reductase, mitochondrial, with no coding region annotated. Lineage: Eukaryota; Metazoa; Arthropoda; Insecta; Lepidoptera; Nymphalidae. The record is from RefSeq and is a predicted model, not a curated record. The transcript has 3 exons.